CGCAUCUGUGCAUGCAGCAUAUCAAUAAGCGGAGGAAAAGAAACUAACAAGGAUUCCCCUAGUAACGGCGAGUGAAGCAGGAAGAGCUCAAAUUUGAAAUCUUAAAGGGUUUCCCUUUACGAAUUGUAGUUUAAAGAAGUGUUUUCUGUUGAGGUUUUGGUAAAAGUUCUUUGGAAUAGGACAUCAUAGAGGGUGAGAAUCCCGUAUUUGACCUUUACUUUCAACUUUGUGAUACACUUUCAAAGAGUCGGAUUGUUUGGGAAUGCAGUUCAAAAUGGGUGGUAAAUUUCAUCUAAAGCUAAAUAUUGGCGAGAGACCGAUAGCGAACAAGUACCGUGAGGGAAAGAUGAAAAGAACUUUGAAAAGAGAGUUAAACAGUACGUGAAAUUGUCAAAAGGGAAGCGUUUGACACCAGUGUUGUUUUUCUGAAAAUCAAUUAAAGAACUGUUUAUGCUAAGCUUGUUUAGACUUUAUCAGCUAACUGUUUAGUUUUGAGCUUUUCUUUAAUGCACUUUUCAGUUAACAAGUCAACAUCAAUUUCUUUUGCUGUAAAAAAGCUUGAGGAAGGUGGCUUGAGAUUCGUCUUAAGUGUUUAUAGCCUCUUGCCUAUGCAGUCGGAGAGAUUGAGGUCUGCAGCGUAGAUCCUUCGGGGCUAAAUGCAUUUGUGCUAAGUUAUAACAUUUUAUAGACAACUUGUUGACUAUGAUUUGUCUUGUAGCUUACUCGCUUAUGUUAUUUUACCUACGCUUAGGAUGUUGACAGCAGUAUAGACUGU
This 775-nucleotide ribosomal RNA is filed under the name uncultured Neocallimastigales. Its description in RNAcentral is "partial large subunit ribosomal RNA". It matches the Rfam family "Eukaryotic large subunit ribosomal RNA", at positions 26 to 637 of the family's 3401-position model. The record is from RNAcentral. Lineage: Eukaryota; Fungi; Neocallimastigomycota; Neocallimastigomycetes; Neocallimastigales.